Molecule: ribosomal RNA, 253 nt
Filed under: uncultured bacterium
Lineage: Bacteria
Description: partial 16S ribosomal RNA
Rfam family: Bacterial small subunit ribosomal RNA
Source: RNAcentral
UACGUAGGGGGCAAGCGUUGUCCGGAUUUAUUGGGCGUAAAGAGCGUGUAGGCGGCCUGAAAGGUCAGCUGUGAAAACUCGAGGCUCAACCUCGAGACGUCGGUUGAAACCAUCUGGCUAGAGUCCGGAAGAGGAGAGUGGAAUUCCUGGUGUAGCGGUGAAAUGCGCAGAUAUCAGGAAGAACACCCGUGGCGAAGGCGGCUCUCUGGAACGCAACUGACGCUGAGACGCGAAAGCGUGGGGAGCAAACAGG